UGGCUCUGGCAANGAUGAAGAACGCAGCGAAAUGCGAUAAGUAAUGCGAAUUGCAGAAUCAGUGAAUCAUCGAAUCUUUGAACGCACAUUGCGCCCCUUGGUAUUCCGAGGGGCACGCCUGUUCGAGCGCCAUUACACACCCCAAGCUCUGCUUGAUGUUGGGUACUGUCGGAAGACACGCCCGAAACGCAUUGGCGUCCGCCGCCGACCACGAGCGUUGCAAGACUUUGGUCAUCUGCUCGUUUGGAAGGAAGGUGGGCCGCCUUGUAUACCACUACAAAACAUUUUGGCCUCGGAUCAGGUGGGGAUACCCGCUGA
RNAcentral lists this unclassified non-coding RNA (318 nucleotides) under uncultured fungus. Its description in RNAcentral is "partial contains 5.8S ribosomal RNA and internal transcribed spacer 2". The stretch from base 1 to 132 matches the Rfam family "5.8S ribosomal RNA", at positions 22 to 154 of the family's 154-position model. Lineage: Eukaryota; Fungi. The record is from RNAcentral.